UUCGGGUCGCCGGCGAGUGGCAAACGGGUGAGUAACGCGUGGAUACCUGUCCUGUGGUGGGGAAUAACGUUUAGAAAUGAACGCUAAUACCGCAUAAGCCCUGCGGGGGAAAGAUUUAUCGCCAUAGGAGGGGUCCGCGUCGGAUUAGCUAGUUGGUGGGGUAACGGCCUACCAAGGCGACGAUCCGUAGCUGGUCUGAGAGGAUGAUCAGCCACACUGGGACUGAGACACGGCCCAGACUCCUACGGGAGGCAGCAGUGGGGAAUAUUGCGCAAUGGAGGAAACUCUGACGCAGCGACGCCGCGUGGGUGAAGAAGGCCUUAGGGUUGUAAAGCCCUUUCAGUGGGAAAGAUGAUGACGGUACCCACAGAAGAAGCCCCGGCUAACUCCGUGCCAGCAGCCGCGGCAAUACGGAGGGGGCCAGCGUUGUUCGGAAUUACUGGGCGUAAAGGGCGCGUAGGCGGUUGAUCAAG
RNAcentral lists this ribosomal RNA (473 nucleotides) under uncultured Magnetococcus sp. RNAcentral describes it as "bacterial SSU rRNA". It matches the Rfam family "Bacterial small subunit ribosomal RNA", at positions 79 to 587 of the family's 1533-position model. Lineage: Bacteria; Pseudomonadati; Pseudomonadota; Magnetococcia; Magnetococcales; Magnetococcaceae. The record is from RNAcentral.